GAUGCAUUCUAGAGAUAGAAAGUUACUUCGGUACAUCGGUGACAGGUGGUGCAUGGUUGUCGUCAGCUCGUGUCGUGAGAUGUUGGGUUAAGUCCCGCAACGAGCGCAACCCCUAUUGUUAGUUGCCAUCAUUCAGUUGGGCACUCUAGCGAGACUGCCGGUAAUAAACCGGAGGAAGGUGGGGAUGACGUCAAAUCGUCAUGCCCCUUAUGACCUGGGCUACACACGUGCUACAAUGGUUGGUACAACGAGUUGCGAGUCGGUGACGACGAGCUAAUCUCUUAAAGCCAAUCUCAGUUCGGAUUGUAGGCUGCAACUCGCCUACAUGAAGUCGGAAUCGCUAGUAAUCGCGGAUCAGCACGCCGCGGUGAAUACGUUCCCGGGCCUU
RNAcentral lists this ribosomal RNA (388 nucleotides) under uncultured Streptococcus sp. RNAcentral's name for it is "bacterial SSU rRNA". It matches the Rfam family "Bacterial small subunit ribosomal RNA", at positions 991 to 1382 of the family's 1533-position model. The record is from RNAcentral. Lineage: Bacteria; Bacillati; Bacillota; Bacilli; Lactobacillales; Streptococcaceae.